Molecule: long non-coding RNA, 241 nt
Filed under: Capra hircus (goat)
Lineage: Eukaryota; Metazoa; Chordata; Mammalia; Artiodactyla; Bovidae
Description: lncRNA (ENSCHIG00010015952.1)
Source: RNAcentral
AUUGGACUUCUCAAGCCUAUGUCUUUUUUUUCAUAGUAAAGUCCUCCACAAUUUUUCAUUGCUUGAGUAGAGCUGAUACGAUUCUGCAUCUCCUACCAGGAGUGCAAUGAAUAUUUUAGCUAUUUGAUUUGUAAUGAUGAAAUUUUGAUGUUGACCAAAACUUCAGUGCAGUAUACUCAUUGUUUGGCUUCAUCAACAUACUGUAAACAUCAUUAAAAUCUUGUACGUGCCUUUUCCCCUU